UACGGAGGGUGCAAGCGUUAUCCGGAUUCACUGGGUUUAAAGGGUGCGUAGGAGGGCAGGUAAGUCAGUGGUGAAUUCUCCAAGCUUAACUUGGAAACUGCCGUUGAUACUAUCUGUCUUGAAUAUUGUGGAGGUGAGCGGAAUAUGUCAUGUAGCGGUGAAAUGCUUAGAUAUGACAUAGAACACCAAUUGCGAAGGCAGCUCACUACUCAAUCAUUGACUCUGAGGCACGAAAGCGUGGGGAUCAAACAGG
This 253-nucleotide ribosomal RNA is filed under the name uncultured bacterium. RNAcentral's name for it is "partial 16S ribosomal RNA". It matches the Rfam family "Bacterial small subunit ribosomal RNA", at positions 524 to 776 of the family's 1533-position model. The record is from RNAcentral.